GUGGGGAAUAUUGGACAAUGGGCGAAAGCCUGAUCCAGCCAUGCCGCGUGUGUGAAGAAGGUCUUCGGAUUGUAAAGCACUUUAAGUUGGGAGGAAGGGCAGUAAGUUAAUACCUUGCUGUUUUGACGUUACCGACAGAAUAAGCACCGGCUAACUUCGUGCCAGCAGCCGCGGUAAUACGAAGGGUGCAAGCGUUAAUCGGAAUUACUGGGCGUAAAGCGCGCGUAGGUGGUUUUGUAAGUUGGAGGUGAAAUCCCCGGGCUCAACCUGGGAACUGCCUGCAAAACUGCAUGACUAGAGUACGGUAGAGGGGAGUGGAAUUUCCUGUGUAGCGGUGAAAUGCGUAGAUAUAGGAAGGAACACCAGUGGCGAAGGCGACCACCUGGACUGAUACUGACACUGAGGUGCGAAAGCGUGGGGAGCAAACAGGAUUAGAUACCCGUGUAGUCC
This 450-nucleotide ribosomal RNA is filed under the name uncultured bacterium. RNAcentral's name for it is "partial 16S ribosomal RNA". It matches the Rfam family "Bacterial small subunit ribosomal RNA", at positions 354 to 796 of the family's 1533-position model. The record is from RNAcentral.